Long non-coding RNA from Canis lupus familiaris (dog), 1537 nucleotides. RefSeq lists it as uncharacterized. Lineage: Eukaryota; Metazoa; Chordata; Mammalia; Carnivora; Canidae. The transcript has 5 exons. The record is from RefSeq and is a predicted model, not a curated record.
GUCUGAGGACCCGCAGACAGGACGGGGACACUGGCCAGGAGAGCGGCUCUGGGUGACAUGAGGGGAUCUCUUCGUCCUUGGCGCCCGUGGGAUACCCUGCCCACUCGUCUUGAGGCACCUGGGGGAGAACAGACACAUGCAUGCGUCAGGCGUCCCCAAGAUGCCUGGGGUCCUGGGGGGACGGGCGCCCUGAGCUUCCCAGAAGACACGCUCCCGGCGGCCAGGUGCCAUUCCCAGCGUGUGCAUCCCGGGGAUGCUUCCUGGCGCUGUCGUUCACAUCCUAAAAGGACAUUCACGUGUCAUCGUGGUUUUCUCCCCGCUACUAAACUGAUGCAUAAACAUGGAAACGUGACAACAUGCGAAGACGGCUGGAGGAUAAACACACCUGUAACCUCGGCACAGGGGAAACCAAGCCGCCUGCAUCUUAGAUGGAUUCCCUGCUGCUGGUGAAUCAAGUAACCAGCGAGACCAGCUUGUACUUCCCUGUUUCUGACUUAAGCCAGUCCAUAGCCUUUGACAGAAAAAAUUUCAAUUGAGCGUAAACCAGAGUGAAGAGCCGGGUGAGGUUACCGGUUCCACAGCGUGUGCCUCCGGACGACCCCAGGACCGGAGAGCCACGCAGAGGCGCCGCCGUGCCCCGUCCAUACACCUCCCUGGUGCAUCACGGUGUCGAAAACCUGCAGCAGGUGUGCGAGGCCGGCCGAUGGGGACGUCCAACCCGCUCAGUCCGUGGCUCCGUGUCUGCAGGGAGCAAGCACCCAGGCGACGUUCUCUGAACAGCAGCUACCGGCCUCUGCGGAUCCGGUGAGGCGUUGGCUGCACACAGUGGUCACCGGCUACCCCGAUCGCCUACUUGCACGUCGUGAGCCGUGACGUCUGCGGUUUCUACUCUGACGCCCGUCCUGGUGCCUCCUGGGGUAUGGACGGCAGCAAGGCAGCUGGGCCUCUGAGGCCCAGGGGAGGACACGGCUCUGGGGCGUCACAGACACGGGGCGCAGCUGCGGCCAUCCCACACCCGGGGGCGUUCCCGGCAUCCCAGGGCCCGAGGGGCCUGUUUUGCUCAGGACAGUGGGGCACAGUCCACCCAGCAAAGCCUCGGCCACUUCCGUGAUCGUGCACGGGUUUCCCCGUCCAACACAGGCCUUGACUCUGUGUUUUGAAUGUGAGUAACCACGUAAAUCAAGGGAAGGGAGAAUUUUGGUCUGACAUUCUACCAAGACUUUAGUACCAUCUCCAAGAAUCCAGCAGAGUCUGGAUACGUAGAUACCUAGAUGCUCCAAGCCCUGGGUGCAGGUGGACCGCAUAGGUUCACCGUAGAAAAGUCCGGGGGCGUGACGCGCCGUCCGUUAUUAGUGAGACGCUCGUUCCGAGGAGUCCGGGAGCCGCUGUCAAGGACAUGAGUCGAGGCGAUCCCACGCGUGUGUCGCAAAUACGAGGAGCCCAGAGCGGGUGUGGUCAGGCUGCCGUGCCCACCUCCGAGGAUGUGAGCAGAUGCUCGUGGGGAGGCGCCCGCCGAGCCUGGAGACAGGGAGGGUGA